GGAAGUAAAAGCGUAACAAGGUUUCCGUAGGUGAACCUGCGGAAGGAUCAUUAUUGUAUAACCGAGGUGCGAGGGCUGUCGCUGACCCGAAAGGUCGUGCACGCCCGAGUGCCCUCACACACAUCCAUCUCACCCCUAUGUGCACCACCGCGUGGGUCCCCCUUUGGCUUGUUCGGAGGGGGGCUUACGUUUUCACACAAACUUUGUAUGCAGUGUAGAAUGUAUUUUUUGUUUUUGCGAUCACGCAAUCAAUACAACUUUCGACAACGGAUCUCUUGGCUCUC
Molecule: unclassified non-coding RNA, 284 nt
Filed under: plant metagenome
Description: partial contains small subunit ribosomal RNA and internal transcribed spacer 1
Rfam family: Eukaryotic small subunit ribosomal RNA (bases 1-53)
Source: RNAcentral